Molecule: ribosomal RNA, 497 nt
Filed under: uncultured bacterium
Lineage: Bacteria
Description: partial 16S ribosomal RNA
Rfam family: Bacterial small subunit ribosomal RNA
Source: RNAcentral
GAUGAACGCUGGCGGCGUGCCUAAUACAUGCAAGUCGAGCGAACGGACGAGAAGCUUGCUUCUCUGAUGUUAGCGGCGGACGGGUGAGUAACACGUGGAUAACCUACCUAUAAGACUGGGAUAACUUCGGGAAACCGGAGCUAAUACCGGAUAAUAUUUUGAACCGCAUGGUUCAAAAGUGAAAGACGGUCUUGCUGUCACUUAUAGAUGGAUCCGCGCCGCAUUAGCUAGUUGGUAAGGUAACGGCUUACCAAGGCAACGAUGCAUAGCCGACCUGAGAGAGUGAUCGGACGCACUGGAAAUGAGACAGGGUCGAGAGUCCGACGGGAGGCAGCAGUGGGGAAUAUUGGACAAUGGGCGAAAGCCUGAUAGAGCGAUAACGCGUGAGUGAAGAAGGUAUUAGGAUUGUAAAGCUCUUUUGGUGGGAAAGAAAAGAAGCAGGUGAAUAGCGGGCUGUUCUGACGGUACCCAAAGAAAAAGCAACGGCUAAAUUCGUG